CCUACGGGGGGCAGCAGUGAGGAAUAUUGGUCAAUGGGCGCGAGCCUGAACCAGCCAAGUAGCGUGAAGGAUGACUGCCCUACGGGUUGUAAACUUCUUUUAUAAAGGAAUAAAGUGAGCCACGUGUGCCUUUUUGUAUGUAUUUUAUGAAUAAGGAUCGGCUAACUCCGUGCCAGCAGCCGCGGUAAUACGGAGGAUCCGAGCGUUAUCCGGAUUUAUUGGGUUUAAAGGGAGCGUAGAUGGGUUGUUAAGUCAGUUGUGAAAGUUUGCGGCUCAACCCUAAAAUUGCAAUUGAUACUGGCAGCCUUGAGUACAGAUGAGGUAGGCGGAAUACGUGGUGUAGCGGUGAAAUGCUUAGAUAUCACGUAGAACUCCGAUAGCGAAGGCAGCCUACUAGACUGCCACUGACAUUGAUGCUCGAGAGUGUGGGUAGCAAACAGGAUUAGAUACCCGGGUAGUC
RNAcentral lists this ribosomal RNA (460 nucleotides) under uncultured bacterium. Its description in RNAcentral is "partial 16S ribosomal RNA". It matches the Rfam family "Bacterial small subunit ribosomal RNA", at positions 338 to 795 of the family's 1533-position model. The record is from RNAcentral.